Molecule: ribosomal RNA, 164 nt
Filed under: uncultured bacterium
Lineage: Bacteria
Description: partial 16S rRNA
Rfam family: Bacterial small subunit ribosomal RNA
Source: RNAcentral
UAGGGAAUCUCCCACAAUGGGCGCAAGCCUGAUGGAGCAACACCGCGUGAGUGAAGAAGGGUUUCGGCUCGUAAAGCUCUGUUGUUAAAGAAGAACACGUAUGAGAGUAACUGUUCAUACGUUGACGGUAUUUAACCAGAAAGUCACGGCUAACUACGUGCCAC